GAUGAACGCUGGCGGCGUGCCUAAUACAUGCAAGUCGAGCGAACAGACGAGGCGCUUGCUCCUCUGACGUUAGCGGCGGACGGGUGAGUAACACGUGUAUAACCUACCUAUAAGACUGGGAUAACUUCGGGAAACCGGCGCUAAUACCGGAUAAUAUAUUGAACCGCAUGGUUCAAUAGUGAAAGACGGUUUUGCUGUCACUUAUAGCUGGAUCCGCGCCGCAUUAGCUAGUUGGUAAGGUAACGGCUUACCAAGGCAACGAUGCGUAGCCGACCUGAGAGGGUGAUAGGCGACACUGGAGCUGGGACAGGGUCCAGACGCCUACGGGAGGCAGCAGUAGGGAAUCUUCCGCAGUAGGCGAAAGCAUGACGGAGCAGCGCCGCGUGUGUGAUGAAGGUCUUCGGAGCGUAAAAAUCUGUUAUGAGGGAAGAACAAAUGUGUAAGUAGCUAUGCACGUAUUGACGGUAACUAAUCAAAAAGCAACGGCUAACUACGUG
Molecule: ribosomal RNA, 497 nt
Filed under: uncultured bacterium
Lineage: Bacteria
Description: partial 16S ribosomal RNA
Rfam family: Bacterial small subunit ribosomal RNA
Source: RNAcentral